CCACCCCCACCCCCCUCGUGCCCGCUCCGCUACGUAUUCCCGUAUUCCCGGGUGCCUGGCAACAGUGAUGUGCUUUAGGCCUUUUUUAGAAUGCAUACAAACGGAACCAUAUCUAAGUGAUGUCUGGCUUUUUUAACUUAGCACAAUGCUUUGAGAUUCAUACUAUUGUGUUUAAUUAGUAAUUCAUUUGUGUUAUUGUUGAAUGGUAGUCUAUCAUAUGGGUAAGCCACAGUUUAUUUAUCCAUUCACCAAUUGAUGGGCCUGUCGGUUGUAGGGAACAGGAGAAAACUUCCCCUUUGCCCUCUGAAGGGUCACCGAAAAUCAACUGACAAGGCUGGGCCUGGGCUCCUGCCUGUAACCCCAGCCCUUUUUUAGCCCAAGGCAGGAGGAUCUCUUCUUUGUGAAGUGUGUAUUCAAAUCUUUUGACCAUUUAUUUAUUAGCUAGCUUGACUUUUUAUCUAAGAGUUCUUUAUAUAUUAUUGAGUUCUUUAUAUGUUUCAUACCAUGUUCUUUAUUAGCUAUACGUUUUGAAAUGUUUUCUACCUGUCUGUGGCUUGCCUCUUCAUUUUAAGUGUCUUUUGAAGCACUGAAGUUUUCAAUUUUGAUGUAAUUUAUCCAUUUUUUUCUUUUACAUAGUUCAUACCUUUUUUGUCCUACUUAAGACAUUUUUGCUAAAUUCAAGAUUAUAAGAUUUCCUCAUUUGUUACCUUCUGGAAGUUUUAUAAUUGUUGGUCUUCAUUAUAUUUAAAAUGAAUUAUUCUUUAUAGUAUCGAUAGAUGCUGGAGGCAGAUAAGGGAGGGUCCCUGGAGAAUCUCUGACCUGCCUCACAAGCUUUUGUGCAGCUGAGGAAGCCUGCCCAGGGUCUUGUCUGGGCAUGCCCACAAGGGACUUGGGGGCCCACUGCACCAGGAGAGUGGGGUGCAGCCAGAGGGAAUUCAGCCUUAUGCAGCAGGGAUGAGCAAGAAGUCUUCAGCUUGUGUGUGUUGGCCUGUUAUUCAGUCUGUGAGCUGGGAGCCUGUUGGCAGGACCCUCCUUGUUUUUUUGCUAAGAGCUUUUAAUAAAUGCCACUCUUCACCUUGCAAUGUAUUCACAUGCCUAAUUGUUCCUGGUCAUGAGACAAGAACCUGGAUUUUAGCUGAGCUAAGGAGCAAAAAUUCCUGCAUCAGUAUGAGGUGUAAGGAAGAACAGAAGGAUCCAAGUGUGAGAAAGCCCACCCUGAGUCUCUCAGAGAUUCAUUUCACUACCAGGUCAAAGACACAAUCAAAAGCCCGACAAAUGGAAUUUGUGGAAUUGGAACAAAAAGCUUUUCUUCCUAGGCACAAGAACAUCAAAGCAUAAAUCCUUCAGGUAUCAGCAAUGACAUCACUUAAGAAUUUCUCAGAAUCUUUGGCACCACCCCAGGCCUACCGGAUCAGAAUCUGAAUUUUUUAACAAGAUCUCAGAUCUAGUCAAGAGUCCAGUCUGAUUUCUCUUUAUUGGGACUACCACCCAAAGCAGAAUGAGGAUGAUGUAACCACGCCCAGUGACUUCUGGAUACCACUGACUCUAGAUCCUGAAUUCCAGCAGAAUGGCUGACACCAACUGGUCUGAAGACCCUCACCAAGGAACUGACUCAGUGCAGGAAUGCAGUUUCUUCAUCUCCCUAUCCCUGACUUCACCCCUCACUUCUCAACCAAUCAGUGAUCACCACACUUUAGGCCAUCACCUGUGUCCAGACCCCUUAAAAACCCCAUCUGCAAACCUCUUGAAGAGGCAUAUUUGAGGUUUCCUCUCAUCUCCUCAUUUGGUUUCCCUACAAUUAUUAAAUUCUUUCUCUGCUGCAACUCCUACUUUUUCAGUGUAUUGGUCUGUUACUGUGCAACAGGAAAUCAGACCUGGUGGUCCUAUAGUAAGAGUUCACAGAAUAUGAUAUACAAAGUGAUCUGUGAUAUACAAAAACCGGCACAAUCUCACUCUUAAUAAGAAAAAUUCAACUUAAAAUUAAAAGUUUUUUUUCCUCAGAAUGGCAAAGAUCAAAGUUUGAUAACAUGGUUGGAAAGUAUGCAGACCGAUAUUCUCAUAUUCAUUGAUGAAGUGUAAAUUGAUACAUCCUUUGUCAGUACGGACAGGUUUCCCAACUCUAGGGGUGAAAUUUAUACAGACUACAGUGUGAAUGACAACCACUUCAAAUUGGGUGAUAUGAUGACCUUGACUCUGUGGAGGGUCAUUUGGCAAAAUAUCUCAAAAUAAAAAUGUACAUACAAUUUGA
RNAcentral lists this long non-coding RNA (2248 nucleotides) under Homo sapiens (human). RNAcentral describes it as "HSALNT0320851". The record is from RNAcentral. Lineage: Eukaryota; Metazoa; Chordata; Mammalia; Primates; Hominidae.